AACGAACGCUGGCGGCAUGCCUAACACAUGCAAGUCGAACGAAGCCUUCGGGCUUAGUGGCGCACGGGUGCGUAACGCGUGGGAAUCUGCCCUUUGGUUCGGAAUAACAGUUGGAAACGACUGCUAAUACCGGAUGAUGACGAAAGUCCAAAGAUUUAUCGCCAGAGGAUGAGCCCGCGUAGGAUUAGCUAGUUGGUGUGGUAAAGGCGCACCAAGGCGACGAUCCUUAGCUGGUCUGAGAGGAUGGGCAGCCACACUGGGACUGAGACACGGCCCAGACUCCUACGGGAGGCAGCAGUGGGGAAUAUUGGACAAUGGGCGAAAGCCUGAUCCAGCAAUGCCGCGUGAGUGAUGAAGGCCCUAGGGUUGUAAAGCUCUUUUACCCGGGAUGAUAAUGACAGUACCGGGAGAAUAAGCCCCGGCUAACUCCGUGCCAGCCGCCGCCGUAA
This 449-nucleotide ribosomal RNA is filed under the name uncultured bacterium. RNAcentral's name for it is "partial 16S ribosomal RNA". It matches the Rfam family "Bacterial small subunit ribosomal RNA", at positions 29 to 523 of the family's 1533-position model. The record is from RNAcentral.